AAACACCUAUGUCUUAAGAAAGAAGUUUAAGGUAACAAAGCUAAAGUAUGAUGUUAUCUUUAGUAUGCUAUGGCUAAAAGCAAAAAAUAAGUAAGUUAAUUAGGUGGUAAGGAUAAUCUCCUUCACAGAUGAUGAACACAAGGUGAUUUUUUGUACCUCCACAUCAAGUGAAGCAAAAAAAUAAUCUGCAACUAAAGACUUACUUAUAGAGACGACCUUUAUGAAGGAGUAAAUACAAUAGAAGUAAUUGAGCUAUAUGGUGGUUCUAAAUCU
Molecule: long non-coding RNA, 273 nt
Filed under: Physcomitrium patens
Lineage: Eukaryota; Viridiplantae; Streptophyta; Bryopsida; Funariales; Funariaceae
Description: long non-coding RNA (PPAT_LNC014001)
Source: RNAcentral